This is a small nuclear RNA of 129 nucleotides. Its record names the gene U1. It matches the Rfam family "U1 spliceosomal RNA". From Rfam's summary of the family: U1 is a small nuclear RNA (snRNA) component of the spliceosome (involved in pre-mRNA splicing). Its 5' end forms complementary base pairs with the 5' splice junction, thus defining the 5' donor site of an intron. The record is from Ensembl.
UGACUUACCUAGCAGGGGAGAUACCGUGAUCAAGAAGGCGGAUCACCCAGGGUGAGGCUCAGCCAUUGCACUUCGGCUGUGCUGACCCCUGCAUAUUCCCCAAAUGUGGGAAUCUCGACUGUAUGGGGC